CAAUAGCGUAUAUUAAAGUUGUUGCAGUUAAAAAGCUCGUAGUUGGAUUUGUGGCUGUCACGGGCGGCCUAUCACUUAGUGUUAGUGCUUGCCUGUGUCGCCAUCCUUGGGUGGAGCCCGUGUGGCAUUAGGUUGUCGUGCGGGGGAUGCCCAUCGUUUACUGUGAGAAAAUUAGAGUGUUCAAAGCAGGCUUAUGCCGUUGAAUAUGUUAGCAUGGAAUAAUAAGAUAGGACCUCGGUACUAUUUUGUUGGUUUGCGCACCGAGGUAAUGAUUAAUAGGGACAGUUGGGGGUAUUCGUAUUUCAUUGUCAGAGGUGAAAUUCUUGGAUUUCUGAAAGACGAACUACGGCGAAAGCAUUUACCAAGGAUGUUUUCAUUAA
RNAcentral lists this ribosomal RNA (380 nucleotides) under uncultured eukaryote. RNAcentral's name for it is "partial 18S ribosomal RNA". It matches the Rfam family "Eukaryotic small subunit ribosomal RNA", at positions 592 to 976 of the family's 1831-position model. The record is from RNAcentral.